Molecule: ribosomal RNA, 253 nt
Filed under: uncultured bacterium
Lineage: Bacteria
Description: partial 16S ribosomal RNA
Rfam family: Bacterial small subunit ribosomal RNA
Source: RNAcentral
UACGGAGGGGGCUAGCGUUGUUCGGAAUUACUGGGCGUAAAGCGUACGUAGGUGGCUUUGUAAGUUAGAGGUGAAAGCCCGGGGCUCAAUCCCGGAAUUGCCCUUAAGACUGCAUCGCUAGAAUUGUGGAGAGGUGAGUAGAAUUCCGAGUGUAGAGGUGAAAUUCGUAGAUAUUCGGAAGAACACCAGUGGCGAGGGCGACUCACUGGACACAUAUUGACACUGAGGUGCGAAAGCGUGGGGAGCAAACAGG